AACGAACGCUGGCGGCAUGCCUAACACAUGCAAGUCGAACGAGACCUUCGGGUUUGGUGGUGCACGGGUGCGUAGCGGGUGGGAUCCUGCCCAUGGGUUUGCAAUAACUCCCCGGAUGGGGUGCUAAUACGGGAGCUUGUAUUGCAUCCGAAGGUUUAUCGCCUUUGGAUGGGCUCGGGUGGGAUUAGCUGGUUGUGAGCGUAAAAGCCUACCAAGGCGACGAUGCAUAGCUGGUCUGAGAGGCUGAGCAGCGACACUGGUAUUGAGACACGGCCCAGACUCCUACGGGAUGGAGCAGUGGGGGAUAUUGGAAAACGGGCGGAAGCCUGAUCCAGCAAUGACGGGUGAGUGAUGAAGGCCUGAGGGUUGUAAAGCUCUUUUACCCGGGAUGAUAAUGACAGUACCGGGAGAAUAAGCUCCGGCUAACUCCGUG
RNAcentral lists this ribosomal RNA (433 nucleotides) under uncultured bacterium. RNAcentral describes it as "partial 16S ribosomal RNA". It matches the Rfam family "Bacterial small subunit ribosomal RNA", at positions 29 to 507 of the family's 1533-position model. The record is from RNAcentral.